This 465-nucleotide ribosomal RNA is filed under the name Vreelandella stevensii. Its description in RNAcentral is "partial 16S ribosomal RNA". It matches the Rfam family "Bacterial small subunit ribosomal RNA", at positions 338 to 795 of the family's 1533-position model. Lineage: Bacteria; Pseudomonadati; Pseudomonadota; Gammaproteobacteria; Oceanospirillales; Halomonadaceae. The record is from RNAcentral.
CCUACGGGCGGCAGCGGUGGGGAAUAUUGGACAAUGGGGGGAACCCUGAUCCAGCCAUGCCGCGUGUGUGAAGAAGGCCCUCGGGUUGUAAAGCACUUUCAGUGAGGAAGAACGCCUGGUGGUUAAUACCCAUCAGGAAAGACAUCACUCACAGAAGAAGCACCGGCUAACUCCGUGCCAGCAGCCGCGGUAAUACGGAGGGUGCGAGCGUUAAUCGGAAUUACUGGGCGUAAAGCGCGCGUAGGUGGCUUGAUAAGCCGGUUGUGAAAGCCCCGGGCUCAACCUGGGAACGGCAUCCGGAACUGUCAAGCUAGAGUGCAGGAGAGGAAGGUAGAAUUCCCGGUGUAGCGGUGAAAUGCGUAGAGAUCGGGAGGAAUACCAGUGGCGAAGGCGGCCUUCUGGACUGACACUGACACUGAGGUGCGAAAGCGUGGGUAGCAAACAGGAUUAGAUACCCUGGUAGUC